CUACGGGAGCUGCAGUCGAGAAUCUUCCGCAAUGGACGAAAGUCUGACGGAGCGACGCCGCGUGCGGGAUGAAGGCCUUCGGGUUGUAAACCGCUGUCAGUGGGGAGGAAAUGUAUCAGGGUUCUCCCUGGUGUUUGACCGAUCCGCAGAGGAAGCGCAGGCUAAGUUCGUGCCAGCAGCCGCGGUAACACGAACUGCGCGAACGUUAUUCGGAAUCACUGGGCUUAAAGAGUUCGUAGGCGGCCUUUCAAGUCGGGUGUGAAAUCCCUCGGCUCAACCGAGGAAUUGCGCCUGAUACUGUUGGGCUUGAGGGGGAUAGGGGUGAGCGGAACUGAUGGUGGAGCGGUGAAAUGCGUUGAUAUCAUCAGGAACACCGGUGGCGAAGGCGGCUCACUGGAUCUCUUCUGACGCUGAGGAACGAAAGCUAGGGGAGCGAACGGGAUUAGAUACCCUCGUAGUC
RNAcentral lists this ribosomal RNA (460 nucleotides) under uncultured bacterium. Its description in RNAcentral is "partial 16S ribosomal RNA". It matches the Rfam family "Bacterial small subunit ribosomal RNA", at positions 339 to 795 of the family's 1533-position model. The record is from RNAcentral.